This 72-nucleotide transfer RNA is filed under the name Marmota marmota marmota (Alpine marmot). It matches the Rfam family "tRNA". Rfam says of the family: Transfer RNA (tRNA) molecules are approximately 80 nucleotides in length. Their secondary structure includes four short double-helical elements and three loops (D, anti-codon, and T loops). RNAcentral also lists the same sequence under 1 other name. The record is from Rfam by way of RNAcentral. Lineage: Eukaryota; Metazoa; Chordata; Mammalia; Rodentia; Sciuridae.
GGGGUUGUGGCUCACUGGUAGAGCACUCGCCUGGCAUGUGCGAGGCCCUGGGUUUGAUCCUCAGCACCACCU